GCACUACUGAGGAGUCCCACAAUAGGACGAAACGACCGCCCAGUGC
This 46-nucleotide non-coding RNA is filed under the name Schistosoma mansoni. The record is from RNAcentral. Lineage: Eukaryota; Metazoa; Platyhelminthes; Trematoda; Strigeidida; Schistosomatidae.